AUGGCCGCGCCACCAUGCAAGGCACAACAAACUCUAUGUCAUCGCGUGUGCGCCAUACUUCCCGAUGAGAUCAUGGAGGAAAUCUUUGUGAGGCUGCCACCGAAAACAGUGGGCCGGUGCCGCUGCCUCUCGCGCACCUGGGCCGCGGCGCUCUCCCAUGACGCCUUCGUCGACCGCCAUCGCCGUCUCGCCAGCGGCCGCGGCGGUCUCAAGCUUUUCUUCCUCCACGACGCGAAGGCGGGCAACAUGGAGGUACGAUCAUGGUCACUUGCUGGCCGCUCCCUCGCCGCAUCAGCCGUAGCCGUCUUCCCGGAUGGCAUGCGCACCAGAUGCAGCUCGCGGUGUCACGGGCUCGUCAUCAUGGAGAACACCGCGACGGGGAUCCACUACGUCUGCAACCCGUCCACGGGCGAGAUGGCCGCGCUUCCCAGGGUGCGGCCGCAUAACAGGAAGACAGAUGAGAGCCUGGGGAUCGGCUACGACGCGCGCAGCAAGAAUCACAAGGUGGUACGUAUCUCCUACUCCAACCACAGGGGCUUUGACGGCACCGAUUUCCGCACGCUUUGUGAGGUCUACGAAAUCAACUCCAGGGGCGCCUGGCGACCACCGGCGAGCAGCUCCGCACUGGGCAUGGUGAAAUUGGACAAUAUGUGCGUCUCUGCGCAAGGCCACCUAUAUUGGAAGUGGCUCGGGCGACAGAACCCGAGGAUAACCUCUUUCUCGCUCUCCGAUGAGGCUUUCAAGGCCUUGCCGCCGCCGCCGUCCUGCCAUGGUAUAGACCAGCUUUACGGGCUGGCGGAGCUCGGGGGACGCUUGUGCCUCUUCGGCACCGCUACCGAACCUGUACAACAACAUAGCAUAUGGUUGUUGCGCGACCACGAGGCCGGUGUGUGGGAUCUACACUGCCGCAUAGACCUGAAUGCGGCGUGGCCGCUGGAGGUCACGCAGUUCUCGAUAGGCCGGAGCAGCCCCAGCCCACUCGCCUUCAUCGACGAUGACCGCCGCAUCCUGUUCAGGGUGUACUGCAAGUUGUCAAAAGAGGAAAGAUCCAAGAGCGCUUACAAACUGUAUGCGUACAACCCUGCGACCGGCAAUGCCGAGAGCCUUGGCUUUCUCCCCCACAGGAGCACGCCACCCGAGUUGUAUGAGGAAAGUGUCGUCUCCACAGGUAGGCCAUUCGAAGACAUUGUGUCCUCAUCCCCGUCUCAAGAGGCGUAG
This 1218-nucleotide ribosomal RNA is filed under the name Triticum aestivum (bread wheat). Its description in RNAcentral is "partial small subunit ribosomal RNA". Lineage: Eukaryota; Viridiplantae; Streptophyta; Magnoliopsida; Poales; Poaceae. The record is from RNAcentral.